UACCAGCUCUCCGAGUGGUGGGGAUGCUUAUUGGGCCUAAAGCAUUCGUAGCCGGUUGGGCAAGUCCUCCGUUAAAUCCAGCGAUUCAAUCGUUGGACUGCAGGGGAUACUGUCCGGCUAGGGGGCGGAAGAGGCCGACGGUAUUCUCGGGGUAGGGGUGAAAUCCUAUAAUCCCGGGAGGACCACCAGUGGCGAAGGCUGUCGGCUAGAACGCGCCCGACGGUGAGGGAUGAAAGCUGGGGGAGCGAACCGGAUUAGAUACCCGGGUAGUCCCAGCCGUAAACGAUGCAGGCUAGGUGUUGGCGCGGCUACGUGCCGCUCCAGUGCCGCAAGGAAGCCGUUAAGCCUGCCGCCUGGGAAGUACGGCCGCAAGGCUGAAACUUAAGGAAUUGGCGGGGAGCACCACAAGGGGUGAAGCUUGCGGUUU
RNAcentral lists this ribosomal RNA (427 nucleotides) under uncultured archaeon. Its description in RNAcentral is "bacterial SSU rRNA". It matches the Rfam family "Archaeal small subunit ribosomal RNA", at positions 474 to 903 of the family's 1478-position model. The record is from RNAcentral.